Molecule: transfer RNA, 65 nt
Filed under: Ophiura luetkenii
Lineage: Eukaryota; Metazoa; Echinodermata; Ophiuroidea; Amphilepidida; Ophiuridae
Description: tRNA-Pro
Source: RNAcentral
GCAGAGGUAGUUUAUAAAAAUAUAGGCUUUGGGUGUCUAAGAUGUUAAUUCUUUAAUCCUUUGAA